RNAcentral lists this ribosomal RNA (539 nucleotides) under uncultured fungus. RNAcentral's name for it is "eukaryotic LSU rRNA". The stretch from base 195 to 348 matches the Rfam family "5.8S ribosomal RNA". Lineage: Eukaryota; Fungi. The record is from RNAcentral.
AAAGUCGUAACAAGGUCUCCGUAGGUGAACCUGCGGAGGGAUCAUUACCGAGCGAGGGCCCCCGGCCCGACCUCUCAACCCCAUGUUGCCCGACACUGUUGCCUCGGGGGCGACCCGGCCCUUGGGCGUCGGGGCCCCCGGCGGACCGUCAAACGCUGCAUCUGUGCGUCCGAGUCAAACGAUAAAUCAAUCAAAACUUUCAACAACGGAUCUCUUGGUUCUGGCAUCGAUGAAGAACGCAGCGAAAUGCGAUAAGUAAUGUGAAUUGCAGAAUUCAGUGAAUCAUCGAAUCUUUGAACGCACAUUGCGCCCUCCGGUAUUCCGGGGGGCAUGCCUGUUCGAGCGUCAUUACACCACUCCAGCCCCGCUGGGCCUUGGGCGCCGCCGCCUCGCCGGCGCGCCCCAAUGUCUCCGGCUGAGCCGUCCGUCUCUAAGCGUUGUGGCAACUCAAUCCGCUUCGGGGACCGGUUGGUACGACGCCGUCAAAACACCCCACACAAGGUUGACCUCGGAUCAGGUAGGGAUACCCGCUGAACUUA